GACGAAGGGGGCUAGCGUUGUUCGGAAUUACUGGGCGUAAAGCGCACGUAGGCGGCUUUGUAAGUUAGAGGUGAAAGCCCAGGGCUUAACCCUGGAAUUGCCUUUAAGACUGCAUCGCUAGAAUUGUGGAGAGGUAAGUGGAAUUCCGAGUGUAGAGGUGAAAUUCGUAGAUAUUCGGAAGAACACCAGUGGCGAAGGCGACUUACUGGACACAUAUUCGACGCUGAGGUGCGAAAGCGUGGGGAGCAAACAGG
RNAcentral lists this ribosomal RNA (254 nucleotides) under uncultured bacterium. RNAcentral describes it as "partial 16S ribosomal RNA". It matches the Rfam family "Bacterial small subunit ribosomal RNA", at positions 524 to 776 of the family's 1533-position model. The record is from RNAcentral.